RNAcentral lists this long non-coding RNA (460 nucleotides) under Lathyrus oleraceus (garden pea). RNAcentral's name for it is "Pisum sativum (pea) long non-coding RNA (PSAT_LNC009712)". Lineage: Eukaryota; Viridiplantae; Streptophyta; Magnoliopsida; Fabales; Fabaceae. The record is from RNAcentral.
AGAAAAAGUAAGAUUUCUAUUAUGCUAUUGAAUGAUAUAUACACAAUUGGUGUCGCCAUGUUAUACCGAUGCAUAACUAGUAAUUACAACAUUGCAUUGUAAAAGUUAGCAGCACUGAUAACUUCCCUUUCAACUUGGAACAUAAAAAUGAAAAAAAGACAGUGGAAUAUUCAAGAAACAUUUCCCUUUAACUCCAUAUCCAACUCAUGUUGCGGCAACGACGCAUAAUAACAUUGCAAUUCCCUCCUGAGCAGCACAACAUCAAUAACAGGGCUGCACUGGCAAUUUCUAGCUGACUUCUAAUGACAGUAAUAGAUAUUUACUAAUAGUAAUGUUUUUUUUUUUUCAGUUAACAGGAAUUGCGAAGAAAUUAACUUAACAAAAUAACGUAGUGCAUAGUCAUUAACAGGAUCAUUGAUUAAUAUGCUCCAAUUAACAACACAAACAAAUUCCACAAUUG